GAUGAACGCUGGCGGCGUGCCUAAUACAUGCAAGUCGAACGCUGAAGGAAGGAGCUUGCUCUUUCCGGGUGAGUUGCGAACGGGUGAGUAACGCGUAGGUAACCUGCCUGGUAGCGGGGGAUAACUAUGGGAAACGAUAGCUAAUACCGCAUAACAGUAGAUGUUGCAUGAUGUCUACUUAAAAGGCGCCAUUGCACCACGACCAGAUGGACCUGCGUUGUAUUAGCUAGUUGGUGAGGUAACGGCUCACCAAGGCGACGAUACAUAGCCGACCUGAGAGGGUGGGCGGCCACACUGGGACGGAGACACGGCCCAGACUCCUACGGGAGGCAGCAGGAGGGAAUCUUCGGCAAUGGGCGGAAGACUGACCGAGCAACGCCGCGUGAGUGAAGAAGGUUGUCGGAUCGUAAAGCUCGGUUGUAAGAGAAGAACGAGUGUGAGAGUGGAAAGUUCACACUGUGACGGUAUCUUACCAGAAAGGGACGGCUAACUACGUG
This 497-nucleotide ribosomal RNA is filed under the name uncultured bacterium. RNAcentral's name for it is "partial 16S ribosomal RNA". It matches the Rfam family "Bacterial small subunit ribosomal RNA", at positions 28 to 507 of the family's 1533-position model. The record is from RNAcentral.